This 115-nucleotide non-coding RNA is filed under the name Salmo salar (Atlantic salmon). RNAcentral describes it as "Eukaryotic large subunit ribosomal RNA". It matches the Rfam family "Eukaryotic large subunit ribosomal RNA", at positions 827 to 939 of the family's 3401-position model. The record is from Rfam by way of RNAcentral. RNAcentral also lists the same sequence under 1 other name. Lineage: Eukaryota; Metazoa; Chordata; Actinopteri; Salmoniformes; Salmonidae.
UGAACUAUGUCUGGGCAGGGCGAAGCCAGAGGAAACUCUGGUGGAGGUCCGUAGUGGUCCUGACGUGCACAUCGGUCAUCCGACCUGGGUAUAGGGUGGCGAAAUACUCAUCGAA